ACGCACGCUGGCGGCGUGCUUCACACAUGCAAGUCGAACGGAAAGGCCCUGCUUUUGUGGGGUGCUCGAGUGGCGAACGGGUGAGUAACACGUGAGUAACCUGCCCUUGACUUUGGGAUAACUUCAGGAAACUGGGGCUAAUACCGGAUAGGAGCUCCUGCUGCAUGGUGGGGGUUGGAAAGUUUCGGCGGUUGGGGAUGGACUCGCGGCUUAUCAGCUUGUUGGUGGGGUAGUGGCUUACCAAGGCUUUGACGGGUAGCCGGCCUGAGAGGGUGACCGGCCACAUUGGGACUGAGAUACGGCCCAGACUCCUACGGGAGGCAGCAGUGGGAAAUAUUGCACAAUGGGCGGAAGCCUGAUGCAGCAACGCCGCGUGCGGGAUGACGGCCUUCGGGUUGUAAACCGCUUUCGCCUGUGACGAAGCGUGAGUGACGGUAAUGGGUAAAGAAGCACCGGCUAACUACGUG
This 467-nucleotide ribosomal RNA is filed under the name uncultured bacterium. Its description in RNAcentral is "partial 16S ribosomal RNA". It matches the Rfam family "Bacterial small subunit ribosomal RNA", at positions 29 to 507 of the family's 1533-position model. The record is from RNAcentral.